AUUAAGCCAUGCAUGUCUAAGUUCACACUGUUUGACGGUGAAACCGCGAAUGGCUCAUUAAAUCAGUCGAGGUUCCUUAGAUGACACGAUCCUACUUGGAUAACUGUGGCAAUUCUAGAGCUAAUACAUGCUUACCAAGCUCCGACCUUUAUUGGAAAGAGCGCUUUUAUUAGUUCAAAACCAAUCGCCGCGUGCUCCUCACGGGGUGCGUGGUGUCCCCAUUGGUGACUCUGGAUAACUUUGUGCUGAUCGCAUGGCCUUCGUGCCGGCGACGCAUCUUUCAAAUGUCUGCCCUAUCAAAUGUCGAUGGUACGUGAUAUGCCUACCAUGUUUGUAACGGGUAACGGGGAAUCAGGGUUCGAUUCCGGACAGGGAGCAUGAGAAA
This 385-nucleotide ribosomal RNA is filed under the name Radix natalensis. Its description in RNAcentral is "SSU rRNA". It matches the Rfam family "Eukaryotic small subunit ribosomal RNA", at positions 43 to 403 of the family's 1831-position model. Lineage: Eukaryota; Metazoa; Mollusca; Gastropoda; Lymnaeidae. The record is from RNAcentral.